GCCAUGCUCUUUUUGCAUCAGUUCGCAGUUUGGUGCUAUCUUCUUGCACAUGGCGGGUUUUUGAAGCCUUGCCAAGCCUGAGAUCUCUGACCACCGCCAAGCCAAGCAUCCGUAACAUCUGCGGCUCUCAUGUCAGUUGUUGCCCUCUCAACUUUCAGUCCACAGUCUCCAUCCAACAUCACACCCAAUUAGCACAUGCAAUCCAGUCUCUUUGUAGUUGGAAACAGAUGGCUGCUGUUCUAGGUGUCCUAGCCGUAGACCUAUUUUACUUAUCUUUCCUAGUGUGUAGUGCUGUGGGUUGAGAUGUCCCCUGUCUUGCAGGGUGCUGGUCCUGAAUUGAGUUUAUUAUCACAAUGAUGGAUGUGCAGUGCAUUUACAAGACUUUUCUUGUCGUUGAAGUUGAUAGCUUUCUGUCCCUUCGUUGCUCGGAUUCUCUUGCCUUCAUAUAAGCUGACCCCUUUGUUAAUCAUAACUUAGAACUCCACCUCUCUUUAGUUGUACUCUCAGACCAGGAUACUGUCUGAAGCAAUUCAUAAGUUAGGCCGGUUCAUUACCGUUUCGGUUGAUUUCUGCCUUUGAACUACCAGAGAGAUCUUGUCACUGCCGUAUGUUCGGCAAGCUUCAUAGAUCUGUUUAGCACCAAGAUAGAUAGCUAGAUUGAACUGGAUGGGGUCUGUUUGAUAUUCCUCCCCAGUCCCCACUCCCUACCUGCAAACUAGCCGAUGAUGGAUCUCCACAUGAAGCUUCUCGUGGCCUCCCUCAGCUGUGUACUUCUGAUACAAGGAGCAUUCUGUG
This is a long non-coding RNA of Triticum aestivum (bread wheat), 795 nucleotides long. RefSeq lists it as uncharacterized. NCBI's taxonomy places the organism in Eukaryota, Viridiplantae, Streptophyta, Magnoliopsida, Poales, Poaceae. The record is from RefSeq and is a predicted model, not a curated record. The transcript is spliced from 2 exons.